Molecule: non-coding RNA, 208 nt
Organism: Oryza nivara
Lineage: Eukaryota; Viridiplantae; Streptophyta; Magnoliopsida; Poales; Poaceae
Source: Rfam
AAAAAAGAUAAACACUAGUUUUCGUGUCUAACGUUUGACCAUUCGUCUUAUUUAAAAAAAUUAUAAAAAAAAAUUAAAAAGACAAGUCACGCAUAAAAUAUUAAUCAUGUUUUAUCAUCUAAUAACAAUGAAAAUACGAAUUAUAAAAAAAUUUCAUAUAAGAUGGACAGUCAAAGUUGGACACGAAAACCCAGGGUUUGCCCUUUUU